RNAcentral lists this ribosomal RNA (253 nucleotides) under uncultured bacterium. Its description in RNAcentral is "partial 16S ribosomal RNA". It matches the Rfam family "Bacterial small subunit ribosomal RNA", at positions 524 to 776 of the family's 1533-position model. The record is from RNAcentral.
UACGGAGGGGGCAAGCGUUGUUCGGAAUUACUGGGCGUAAAGCGCACGUAGGCGGCUUUGUAAGUUAGAGGUGAAAGCCCGGGGCUCAACUCCGGAAUUGCCUUUAAGACUGCAUCGCUAGAAUUGUGGAGAGGUAAGUGGAAUUCCGAGUGUAGAGGUGAAAUUCGUAGAUAUUAGGAAGAACACCGGUGGCGAAGGCGGUACACUGGCUCGGUACUGACGCUGAGAUGCGAAAGCGUGGGGAGCAAACAGG